AACAGGAUUAGAUACCCUGGUAGUCCACGCCGUAAACGAUGUCGACUUGGAGGUUGUUCCCUUGAGGAGUGGCUUCCGGAGCUAACGCGUUAAGUCGACCGCCUGGGGAGUACGGCCGCAAGGUUAAAACUCAAAUGAAUUGACGGGGGCCCGCACAAGCGGUGGAGCAUGUGGUUUAAUUCGAUGCAACGCGAAGAACCUUACCUACUCUUGACAUCCACGGAAUUUGGCAGAGAUGCCUUAGUGCCUUCGGGAACCGUGAGACAGGUGCUGCAUGGCUGUCGUCAGCUCGUGUUGUGAAAUGUUGGGUUAAGUCCCGCAACGAGCGCAACCCUUAUCCUUUGUUGCCAGCGAUUCGGUCGGGAACUCAAAGGAGACUGCCGGUGAUAAACCGGAGGAAGGUGGGGAUGACGUCAAGUCAUCAUGGCCCUUACGAGUAGGGCUACACACGUGCUACAAUGGCGCAUACAAAGAGAAGCGACCUCGCGAGAGCAAGCGGACCUCAUAAAGUGCGUCGUAGUCCGGAUCGGAGUCUGCAACUCGACUCCGUGAAGUCGGAAUCGCUAGUAAUCGUGGAUCAGAAUGCCACGGUGAAUACGUUCCCGGGCCUUGUACACACCGCCCGUCACACCAUGGGAGUGGGUUGCAAAAGAAGUAGGUAGCUUAACCUUCGGGGGGGCGCUUACCACUUUGUGAUUCAUGACUGGGGUGAAGUCGUAACAAGGUAACCGUAGGGGAACCUGCGGCUGGAUCACCUCCUU
RNAcentral lists this ribosomal RNA (761 nucleotides) under uncultured bacterium. RNAcentral describes it as "bacterial SSU rRNA". It matches the Rfam family "Bacterial small subunit ribosomal RNA", at positions 771 to 1532 of the family's 1533-position model. The record is from RNAcentral.